CAAGCGGUGGAGCAUGUGGUUUAAUUCGAUGCAACGCGAAAAACCUUACCUGGUCUUGACAUCCACGGAAGUUUUCAGAGAUGAGAAUGUGCCUUCGGGAACCGUGAGACAGGUGCUGCAUGGCUGUCGUCAGCUCGUGUUGUGAAAUGUUGGGUUAAGUCCCGCAACGAGCGCAACCCUUAUCCUUUGUUGCCAGCGGUCCGGCCGGGAACUCAAAGGAGACUGCCAGUGAUAAACUGGAGGAAGGUGGGGAUGACGUCAAGUCAUCAUGGCCCUUACGACCAGGGCUACACACGUGCUACAAUGGCGCAUACAAAGAGAAGCGACCUCGCGAGAGCAAGCGGACCUCAUAAAGUGCGUCGUAGUCCGGAUUGGAGUCUGCAACUCGACUCCAUGAAGUCGGAAUCGCUAGUAAUCGUGGAUCAGAAUGCCACGGUGAAUACGUUCCCGGGCCUUGUACACACC
This 465-nucleotide ribosomal RNA is filed under the name uncultured bacterium. RNAcentral's name for it is "bacterial SSU rRNA". It matches the Rfam family "Bacterial small subunit ribosomal RNA", at positions 926 to 1391 of the family's 1533-position model. The record is from RNAcentral.